CUCAAAACAGAUAGCUACCGACCCAGACAGCCUCAAUAUGCACCGUCCAAAUGUCUGAAUGAUGCUCCAAAAUGCUGUCUAGAUGGGCACCAGACGUGUUGUGCGUGUGGAACGCGCCCAUGACGCCAGGAAUGCUGUCUAGGCCAUGACAUUACCUGUCGCCGCUCCGCGUUGAUCAACACUCACUGAAUCAGUUUCCCGCCCACUUCACGUGCGCUUCUCUGAUGGACGAAAAAAUAUAACAUUAGUCUUUUUUAACGCGUCAAAUUAUGUGUCAUUAUAGAUGACUUCAUUCAUUUUUGCAUCUUACCUAUGUGUGUGAUUUGAAUAUUAAAUGUAAUUAAUGAAAA
Carassius carassius (crucian carp) is the source of this 350-nucleotide long non-coding RNA. RefSeq lists it as uncharacterized. The transcript has 2 exons. NCBI's taxonomy places the organism in Eukaryota, Metazoa, Chordata, Actinopteri, Cypriniformes, Cyprinidae. The record is from RefSeq and is a predicted model, not a curated record.